This 498-nucleotide ribosomal RNA is filed under the name uncultured bacterium. Its description in RNAcentral is "partial 16S ribosomal RNA". It matches the Rfam family "Bacterial small subunit ribosomal RNA", at positions 28 to 523 of the family's 1533-position model. The record is from RNAcentral.
GAUGAACGCUAGCGGCAGGCCUAAUACAUGCAAGUCGAACGAUAGAAGAGGGCUUGCUCUCUUCGAAAGUGGCGCACGGGUGCGUAACGCGUAUGCAACCUACCUUAAUCAGGGGGAUAGCCCGAAGAAAUUCGGAUUAACACCGCAUAAAAUCACAGUACAGCAUUGUACAAUGAUCAAAUAUUUAUAGGAUUAAGAUGGGCAUGCGUGACAUUAGCUAGUUGGCGGGGUAACGGCCCACCAAGGCGACGAUGUCUAGGGGAUCUGAGAGGGGGACCCCCCACACUGGUACUGAGACACGGACCAGACUCCUACGGGAGGCAGCAGUAAGGAAUAUUGGUCAAUGGAGGCAACUCUGAACCAGCCAUGCCGCGUGCAGGAAGACAGCCCUCUGGGUCGUAAACUGCUUUUAUUCGGGAAUAAACCUACGUACGUGUAAGUAGCUGAAUGUACCGAAGGAAUAAGGAUCGGCUAACUCCGUGCCAGCAGCCGCGGUAA